RNAcentral lists this unclassified non-coding RNA (269 nucleotides) under Hevea brasiliensis (rubber tree). The record is from RNAcentral. Lineage: Eukaryota; Viridiplantae; Streptophyta; Magnoliopsida; Malpighiales; Euphorbiaceae.
AAAUCAUUUAAAUAAACAGAUUCAGCAUAACUCACUGAAGUAGUCACCACUGAUCAAGCAAUCUAUUGAAGGUGCGAGGUCGAUGGAAACUCAACUAACCACAGUAAAGUAAUCGACGCUACUGAUCAAGCAAUCGACGAUGAGAAUCUAGCGCUCGAACUGAACUCUUCACUAGCAGCACGAAAACGAAAACGGACGAAAAAUUUCACCAACGGUGAGAUCGAUGGAAAGGGAUGCAGAUCGAAACAUUUCACCAACGGACAGUUGCG